AAGAAUAUGAUGCCGAGUCCUGCUCUUUCACAAUCAGGGAGCAGGUACGGGGGACGAUUUACUGGGGUGAAUUUGCUAGAUUUACGCAUUAGGGAAUACCUCUUCCCGAACCCGUCAACUAACCUCGGAGGCUAUAAGGAGGAAAUGU
RNAcentral lists this small RNA (148 nucleotides) under Paenibacillus larvae. Its description in RNAcentral is "c-di-AMP sequence". It matches the Rfam family "c-di-AMP riboswitch aptamer (ydaO/yuaA leader)". From Rfam's summary of the family: This family represents a conserved RNA structure found upstream of the ydaO and yuaA genes in Bacillus subtilis and related genes in other bacteria. Lineage: Bacteria; Bacillati; Bacillota; Bacilli; Caryophanales; Paenibacillaceae. RNAcentral also lists the same sequence under 1 other name. The record is from RNAcentral.